This 73-nucleotide transfer RNA is filed under the name Apaloderma vittatum (bar-tailed trogon). It matches the Rfam family "tRNA". From Rfam's summary of the family: Transfer RNA (tRNA) molecules are approximately 80 nucleotides in length. Their secondary structure includes four short double-helical elements and three loops (D, anti-codon, and T loops). The record is from Rfam by way of RNAcentral. Lineage: Eukaryota; Metazoa; Chordata; Aves; Trogoniformes; Trogonidae.
GGGUGAGGAGCUCAGUCAGUUGAGCGUAGCGUUAACAACGCCAAGGUCGCGGGUUCGAUUCCUGUUUGGUCCC